GGCGGCAGGAGAGUGGGGUCAUAAAAGUGCCAUCCGGGUUUAUCAUCGGGUACAGCAUAGAGAUCACCGGGACACUAGGGGUGACAUAGGAGUGACGGGGGGGUCCGGACCGAAUGAUAUUAAAGGUCCGUUCAUGGGCGCUGGCUGGGGACAAGAUGGCGCUGUAGCUAACACGGGAAGUGAUGGGACGUGCCAGGGAGUAGUUACCAAGGUGUGGUUUUGUGGGUGGGGAGCCCCACAGGCAAGGCACAUAUCACGGGAGGAGGGAUUCUGUUGACCACAUGUUUUGUAGGUC
Bufo bufo (common toad) is the source of this 295-nucleotide long non-coding RNA. RefSeq lists it as uncharacterized. The record is from RefSeq and is a predicted model, not a curated record. The transcript is spliced from 3 exons. NCBI's taxonomy places the organism in Eukaryota, Metazoa, Chordata, Amphibia, Anura, Bufonidae.